ACUGGGGGGAGGGGGUUCCUCUCAGCCCGGAUUGCAAGAGGGUGCAGGCCAGGCCGAGGGACCCCACCUGUGCACA
This 76-nucleotide microRNA precursor is filed under the name Myotis davidii. Its description in RNAcentral is "mir-9193 microRNA precursor family". It matches the Rfam family "mir-9193 microRNA precursor family". The record is from Rfam by way of RNAcentral. Lineage: Eukaryota; Metazoa; Chordata; Mammalia; Chiroptera; Vespertilionidae.